Bolinopsis microptera is the source of this 704-nucleotide long non-coding RNA. RefSeq lists it as uncharacterized. NCBI's taxonomy places the organism in Eukaryota, Metazoa, Ctenophora, Tentaculata, Lobata, Bolinopsidae. The transcript is spliced from 2 exons. The record is from RefSeq and is a predicted model, not a curated record.
AGAUAGCAAUAUGGGGCCUAUGCCAAGGCAGAGAUACCCUUUUUUCAUAGAAUCACUGUGGGGUUGUUAUUGGCAUGUAGCUGAUCCGGUCAAGUACAAAUGGUCACAAGCAAAGAUAUAUGGUGCUAUCACUCUGUCCGCACUAGUGGCAACUGAAUAUGUAACUCGGAACUUCAUCUACACUUUUGAUGAGUAUCCCACCGAGGAGGUCCGAAGAUCUUACGAGUUUCCUGCACCGCUGCGCAACAAGUACAAACAAAUCUUUGGAGAGAUGGAUCAUGAUGGCAAAUUCGUCGACCCAACUGAGUUUCACAAGGAAGGAAACAAGCUACGAGACUUUCCUGAUGAUCAUGCUCAUGGCCAUCAUUGAUUUAAUCAAGUGUAUGAACUAUGAAAUGGUGAACUUGAUGAGACCUUAAUUUAUUUGUGCAAGUUCUAACAUUGCAUAACUUUUAUUAGGUCCUUAAGAAUUAAGUUAUUUUGAAAAUAUGAAUGAUUAAGGGAGUACCUAUCCACGAUCUAAUGAAUAUUUCUGCCAAGCAUAGUAAUUUUCGUCAUUUUGAGGUCCAUCAAAUUCUUGAUUAUAGUGAAUAAUGUUUUAGAGUAUUUAAUAACUUCUAGUCUGUAAAUUAUGAUAGUUCAUUACAUUCAAAGAUAUUCUUUCUUUAAGUUUGUAGAAUAAUUAGUUUUCUUUACCAAUUUUG